UACGAAGGGGGCUAGCGUUGUUCGGAUUUACUGGGCGUAAAGCGCGCGUAGGCGGAUUGGUCAGUUAGAGGUGAAAUCCUGGAGCUCAACUCCAGAACUGCCUUUAAUACUGCCAGUCUCGAGUCCGGAAGAGGUGAGUGGAACUCCUAGUGUAGAGGUGGAAUUCGUAGAUAUUAGGAAGAACACCAGUGGCGAAGGCGGCUCACUGGUCCGGUACUGACGCUGAGGUGCGAAAGCGUGGGGAGCAAAC
This 250-nucleotide ribosomal RNA is filed under the name uncultured prokaryote. Its description in RNAcentral is "partial 16S ribosomal RNA". It matches the Rfam family "Bacterial small subunit ribosomal RNA", at positions 524 to 773 of the family's 1533-position model. The record is from RNAcentral.